Molecule: ribosomal RNA, 468 nt
Filed under: uncultured bacterium
Lineage: Bacteria
Description: partial 16S ribosomal RNA
Rfam family: Bacterial small subunit ribosomal RNA
Source: RNAcentral
GACGAACGCUGGCGGCGUGCUUAACACAUGCAAGUCGAACGGAAAGGCCCUGCUUUUGUGGGGUGCUCGAGUGGCGAACGGGUGAGUAACACGUGAGUAACCUGCCCUUGACUUUGGGAUAACUUCAGGAAACUGGGGCUAAUACCGGAUAGGAGCUCCUGCUGCAUGGUGGGGGUUGGAAAGUUUCGGCGGUUGGGGAUGGACUCGCGGCUUAUCAGCUUGUUUGUGGGGUAGUGGCUUACCAAGGCUUUGACGGGCAGCCGGCCUGAGAGGGUGACCGGCCACAUUGGGACUGAGAUACGGCCCAGACUCCUACGGGAGGCAGCAGUGGGGAAUAUUGCACAAUGGGCGGAAGCCUGAUGCAGCAACGCCGCGUGCGGGAUGACGGCCUUCGGGUUGUAAACCGCUUUCGCCUGUGACGAAGCGUGAGUGACGGUAAUGGGUAAAGAAGCACCGGCUAACUACGUG